GAGACCCUAGUAAAAUUAUUACUCUACCUUGUCAAGAUAGUGUUGGGGGUGAAAAUCCCCCGAGUCUUU
RNAcentral lists this transfer RNA (69 nucleotides) under Cynoglossus monopus. Its description in RNAcentral is "tRNA-Asp". Lineage: Eukaryota; Metazoa; Chordata; Actinopteri; Pleuronectiformes; Cynoglossidae. The record is from RNAcentral.